This 231-nucleotide ribosomal RNA is filed under the name uncultured Enterobacterales bacterium. RNAcentral describes it as "partial 16S ribosomal RNA". It matches the Rfam family "Bacterial small subunit ribosomal RNA", at positions 99 to 334 of the family's 1533-position model. Lineage: Bacteria; Pseudomonadati; Pseudomonadota; Gammaproteobacteria; Enterobacterales. The record is from RNAcentral.
CGGACGGGUGAGUAAUGUCUGGGAAACUGCCUGAUGGAGGGGGAUAACUACUGGAAACGGUAGCUAAUACCGCAUAACGUCGCAAGACCAAAGAGGGGACCUUCGGGCCUCUUGCCAUCGGAUGUGCCCAGAUGGGAUUAGCUAGUAGGUGGGGUAGCGGCACACCUAGGCGACGAUCCCUAGCUGGUCUGAGAGGAUGACCAGCCACACUGGAACUGAGACACGGUCCAG